AUUUUAUUAGUAUACACAUAGUAUGGUUGUUUUCCAAACAAUUGGUUUAAAUUAUUUUAAAUAAAAUAU
Molecule: transfer RNA, 69 nt
Filed under: Argonauta nodosus
Lineage: Eukaryota; Metazoa; Mollusca; Cephalopoda; Octopoda; Argonautidae
Description: tRNA-Gly
Source: RNAcentral